Molecule: long non-coding RNA, 2063 nt
Organism: Salvia splendens (bonfire salvia)
Lineage: Eukaryota; Viridiplantae; Streptophyta; Magnoliopsida; Lamiales; Lamiaceae
Exons: 2
Source: RefSeq, a predicted model, not a curated record
UCUCCCUUCUCACAUUAACUCAUCCCCAACCUUUCAACUAUCUCUCCAAGUUCAGCCUACUCCCUCUGGAAACCCUCUCAAUUUUUGAACCCUAGAAAAUUGCAGCCGCAAUCUACAUCUCCAUCCACCAAAAAUCAAAGUGAGAAACUAAUCCAUCAAGAAGCGACAAAAUGGCUGGUACAGUCGACGUUUUUGCUCAGGGAAUUCGCGAAAUGGUUAUUAAGCAACGGAGACGAGGGAAGAAACUAGAUGAUGUGGAGGAUGGUCUAGUGAGAAAUAAUGUACUUGAACAAGUUAUUUUUCUCUUAAAAAAUGUACUCCUUCCGUCCCAUAAUAGAUGAGAUGACACACUUGAAAAAUGACACGAAAUUUUAGGAGAUAGUUGUUUUGUGUGUUAGAUAAAGAGAGAAAAUAGUAUAUUUAUAUUAAUGUGAGGGGAGCUUUUUCUAAAGAGGAAAUGUAACAUUUAUUAUGUGACGGAGGGAGUACUAUAUAAGUUAGUUGGAUGCAACUUUGUGCUUACUCAUGCAAUUUUACGUGCAUUCAAUGUAAAUAUAUUGCAAUGUACAAUUUAGCAUUAUUUAAGGAAAAGGUUGCAUUAUUCAGUCCAGAAGUUGCAUUAUUGAUAUACACUUAUAAUUAUAGAGUAUUUUAUACUUUCAAAAAAGAGUAAUAAUAUAAAAAAAAUACUAGAUAAAAUAUAUCACAAAUAUAAGAAGAUGCACUAAAUAAUUUUUCAAUAAAAUGAAUACAAUAUUACAGUUACUUCACUAUGUGAAAAUAUUUAAACCAGUUACAUAUGCAUUUAAUACAUUAACUACAUAUUAAUGCAAUUCUUAUCUGAGCUAAUUGAAUCAAUUAUAAUUACUACCAAAAUGGUCCCUAAAUUAUGCGUUUAGCACACCAAUAGUUCCCCGGCUUUACAUGAGAAGGUGUAAUCACAUUCGUUAUUCAUCAUAAUUUUGCAUAAAAAAUGCCCCAAAGGUAUGAAAUGUCACAUGACUCAAAAUAUACAUCAUUUUACAUAAUUUAAUAUUUUAUUUUAUUAGAAAUGUAUGAAGUGGGUAGGUUUGGAUCGUACCUCUCAUUUUCCUGAUCUUGUACGAGGUAUCAGGAGGGCCAUUUGGUGUUGAAGACAGUGUUCAAGCAGCUGGCCCUCUUCUAGCAUUGGUGGGGUUUCUUGUUCCAGAAGCAUUGGUGACAGCUGAAUGUUUCCUGAAAAUGGAGGUUAUGUGGUUUGGGGGUUUCAGCAGCAGGGGUGGAUGAAGUGGCUUAGUAGAGUCAUUGAUAAUGCACUAUAUCCUGUUCUGUUUUGUGACUAUCUAAAGCCGGGCAUCCCGGUUCUCGCUGAUGACUGUUGCAUUGACAUUCAUGAACUACAGGGCAAUCUUGCUAGGGCUCAGAUGCCUUUCUUGGUUAUGGGAGUUGUGGCCGUUCUCUAGCUGGGGAGGUGGAUAACCCCGGUAGAGGGCACUGUUUUAGAGGGCACCGGGAGGAGUGGAGUGCUGGGUAUUGGCAACAUUCUUGGUGGGGUGUGGGUGCAUGGGGGCUUCUGCUGUGUCGAAUAUGGGGAUAUUUGUGGCUGAAAUGAGUAGCGUCGUUCCAGGGAUGGGACGCCCCUCGUUGGGAUUAUGUUCUCUGCACUGCUUUCGUGGCUCAGCUUUCAGGAGAACUUUCUCUACUGUUUUGGGAUGAUCAUGGAGUUUCUAGCCUUGAAUCGAUCAUCCAAAAGUUCCACUCGGGACAUUUGGGGCGAUCAUCAAGUGUGUGCCUCCAACUUUGCUCAUAUUUCGGAAAGUAAUGGUGAUUAGCCUCGUCGCCUCUCUGAUAGGGCUCAUUCUACAGCCUUGCUUGAAGAUUCUGUUCCGUUCCACUGAUACAGAGCGAAAGAUGAUGAUGAUGAUACAUGAAGUGAAGAAAGAGGAAUGUGUGCAAUAAGAUGGUACUGAGGCAGCUUUGUCAUCAGGCCUCUUUUUGCAUUGAAUUUGCCAAUCUUUGUAAAUUCAUCUUAUCCGAAGUGAAAAUAUGAUUUUGAGCUUUAAUCCACAUAUCAUUUGUGUUUU